This 126-nucleotide microRNA precursor is filed under the name Myotis lucifugus (little brown bat). RNAcentral's name for it is "mir-9193 microRNA precursor family". The record is from Rfam by way of RNAcentral. Lineage: Eukaryota; Metazoa; Chordata; Mammalia; Chiroptera; Vespertilionidae.
GGUGCACCAGUGGGGUCCCUCGGCCUGGCCUGUGCCCUCUUGCAAUCUGGGACCCCUCAGGGGAUUUGGACUACCAGCUUUGGCCCGAUCCCUGCAGGCCAGGCCGAGGGACCCCACUGGUGCAUG